This 460-nucleotide ribosomal RNA is filed under the name uncultured bacterium. RNAcentral describes it as "partial 16S ribosomal RNA". It matches the Rfam family "Bacterial small subunit ribosomal RNA", at positions 338 to 795 of the family's 1533-position model. The record is from RNAcentral.
CCUACGGGAGGCAGCAGUGAGGAAUAUUGGUCAAUGGACGAGAGUCUGAACCAGCCAAGUAGCGUGAAGGAUGACUGCCCUAGGAGUUGUAAACUUCUUUUGUAUGGGAGUAAAACAGGGUAUGCAUCCCCUCUUGUAUGUACCAUAUGAGUAAGGCUAGGCUAACUCCGUGCCAGCAGCCGAGGUAAUACGGAGGGUCCGAGCGUUAUCCGAAUUUAUUGGGUGUAAAGGGAGCGUAGGGGGAUUGUUAAGUCAGUUGUGAAAGUUUGAGGCUCAACCGUAAAACUGCAGUUGAAACUGGCAGUCUUGAGUAUAGUAGAGGUGGGCGGAAUUCGUGGUGUAGCGGUGAAAUGCUUAGAUAUCACGAAGAACUCCGAUUGCGAAGGCAGCUCACUGGACCGCAACUGACACUGAUGCUCGAAAGUGUGGGUAUCAAACAGGAUUAGAUACCCGGGUAGUC